UGGUUCUGGCAUCGAUGAAGAACGCAGCGAAAUGCGAAAAGUAAUGUGAAUUGCAGAAUUCAGUGAAUCAUCGAAUCUUUGAACGCACAUUGCGCCCGCCAGUAUUCUGGCGGGCAUGCCUGUCCGAGCGUCAUUUCAACCCUCAAGCCCCGCUUGGUGUUGGGGUCCUACGGCUGCCGUAGGCCCUGAAAGCUAGUGGCGGGCUCGCUACCACUCCGAGCGCAGUAACGCAUCUCGCUAGGGACGUGUGUGGCGGGUUCCGGCCGUGAAACCCCCCCAUUUUCACAAGGUUGACCUCGGAUCAGGUAGGAAUACCCGCUGA
Molecule: unclassified non-coding RNA, 322 nt
Filed under: uncultured fungus
Lineage: Eukaryota; Fungi
Description: partial contains 5.8S ribosomal RNA and internal transcribed spacer 2
Rfam family: 5.8S ribosomal RNA (bases 1-133)
Source: RNAcentral